Long non-coding RNA from Medicago truncatula (barrel medic), 900 nucleotides. RefSeq lists it as uncharacterized. Lineage: Eukaryota; Viridiplantae; Streptophyta; Magnoliopsida; Fabales; Fabaceae. The record is from RefSeq and is a predicted model, not a curated record. The transcript has 2 exons.
CUCUAUAAAUUGUUGCAUGUAACAAUGAACUAAUGCAACACUAAGCUAAGUUCAUAACAAAUAAUUUUAGCUUAUUCUUUCUUUUGAUCAAACAAACAAUGACUUAUGUUAAGCUUGUUACUUCGGCUGUCUUCAUGCUCACCACAUUCUUAAUCAUCCAGACGAAGAACGUUGAAGCAUAUUGUGCAAGAUACGGUAUGCGUUGUUCAAUAUUUGAGUUGAAUCCAUGCGGCAACUCCAUAACGUGUCAAUGUGUCAGUUUGCAAAUAUUUGGAAUGACCUGCAUUGGAGUACCAGAUGGCCUCUAACUCUAAUGAAAAGGAGUACUUGAAGAUGGCUUUGGAUAUUGCUACUUAAGAAUGAUAUUGCCGCCAAAACCGUAAACAUGGAUAUCUAGCCGUUUCCGGACCAUAUGAUUUUAAAUGAUAUGUUACUUCUCCCUCUCUUUUUUGUGAGCCUUCAGCUAAAACCCCAAUUUCUUCUUCUUCUUCGUCCACCAAAGAGGGGUGGUUUAAGGUCAAUUUUUUACCCCAAAGCACCCCUCUACAUUGUUUUUCUCCUUCCUUUUUUUUAAAUAAAUUAUUUCACAUCGAAUUAGGUUUUUCUUUCGUGAUUUUGACGUCUUAGUGCGACGCUGUUUUGUUUGUCGUCUUUGUACGAUCGAUGUUAUUUGUCAUUUCCCUCUUGUUCAAGUGUUUGUUCAAUUCAGAUUGUCAGAUUAGCUUUGAUCCAAUGCAGAUCCAACCAAUGAUUUUGGCGUCAUCAACGUUGCAGAUCCGAAGGCAUGGCUAUUCCGGAGAUUUUAAUAUAGUCAUAUUUGUAGGCCUAUGUACUUUGCCAUUUUAUGCUAUUAACAUGGAUGUUGUGAGUUUAUUCACAUAUUCAUCCUUUUUGUUUUUA